UAUCUCUGUAGAGUCUGCAUAUCAAUAAGCGGAGGAAAAGAAACUAACAAGGAUUCCCUUAGUAACGGCGAGUGAAGCGGGAAGAGCUCAAAUUUGAAAUCUUCAAGGUUUUACCUUGACGAAUUGUAGUUUAAAGAAGUGUUUUCUGUUGAAGUUUUGGUAAAAGUUCUUUGGAAUAGGACAUCAUAGAGGGUGAGAAUCCCGUAUUUGACCAUUAUUUUCAGCUGUGUGAUACACUUUCAAAGAGUCGGAUUGUUUGGGAAUGCAGUCCAAAAUGGGUGGUAAAUUUCAUCUAAAGCUAAAUAUUGGCGAGAGACCGAUAGCGAACAAGUACCGUGAGGGAAAGAUGAAAAGAACUUUGAAAAGAGAGUUAAACAGUACGUGAAAUUGUCAAAAGGGAAGCGUUUGACACCAGUGUUGUUUUCUCGAAAAUCAAUUAAAAAGAGUUUGAUUUUGUUGUGUAUUGACCUUAACAGCUUGCAUUUCAAUUUUCUUGCUUUUUUUAAUGCACUUUUCGUUUAACAAGUCAACAUCAGUUUCUUUUGUUGUAAAAAGGUCAUUGGAAGGUGGCUUUCUUUUCGGAGAAAGUGUUUAUAGCCUUUGACUCCUGCAAUCGGAGAGACUGAGGUCUGCAGCGUAGAUCCUUCGGGGUUAGAUACAUUUGUGCUAAGUUAUAGCUUUUUCAUAGACAACUUGUUGACUAUGAUUAGUCAUGUCGCUUACUCGCUUAUGCUAUUUUACCUACGCUUAGGAUGUUGAAGAUAUGCGCGACACG
Molecule: ribosomal RNA, 775 nt
Filed under: uncultured Neocallimastigales
Lineage: Eukaryota; Fungi; Neocallimastigomycota; Neocallimastigomycetes; Neocallimastigales
Description: partial large subunit ribosomal RNA
Rfam family: Eukaryotic large subunit ribosomal RNA
Source: RNAcentral